This 953-nucleotide long non-coding RNA is filed under the name Monodelphis domestica (gray short-tailed opossum). Its description in RNAcentral is "lncRNA (ENSMODG00000046090.1)". Lineage: Eukaryota; Metazoa; Chordata; Mammalia; Didelphimorphia; Didelphidae. The record is from RNAcentral.
UGGGGUGUAGGUAAGUCUCUGUAUUGAGCACUGGAGAGGUUUUUACCCAAGGGCUUUUUUUCUGUUCUCUGUAGCAUUUUGCUGUCAGCCACCCCCUCUUUGCAAGCUCCACACCCUAUCUUCAUGUUUCCUCAGCCUCCUGGUGUUCCAAGACUAGUUUGUCUUAGGGAUAAGUCUGUGCCGACCUCAGCCAGCCUCUCUCCUAGCACUUAGAAGUUUGUCCCGUGCUCGCUUGGACUCUGGCAAGGAGCUGUUACUUCCUGUGAGAGGAGUUCUCUGAUUCUUUGGAGUUCUGAGUUUGAGUUGGAGGCUGGUGAAGAAUCUGCUUACUGGAACUGAAACCUUGGACUUGGUGAGACAGUUCUUCAAUCUCUCCCUUUGGACUGACACCUGUUUCAUCCACGGUGUACCCUCAUGUGGCUUUGAAGUCCAAAGGCUGAGGCGCAUAGUGUGUGGCACACGGGGCCUGGGACGCCAGUUGUUACGGGAGAUGCGGUUGUGGCCUGGUGUCGGCGUUCACACGCAGCGGCAAGACGUCGACGUCGCUCAUCUUCAAAGGUGGCGCCAUGGUUAAUGUGGGUUCGCCAGCUGCUUCUGACAGAGGCAGCGAGUUCUAGUUGCUUUGGUGUAAUGCCAGCCCACUUCAAGUUGGACUUUAGCUGAUCCCUGAAUCCUUUCCUUGGUCGGCCUUGUUCCCUGAGUCCAGCCGACAGUUCACCAUAGAAUACCUGUCUUGGUAUUCGCUGUGAGUCCAUGUGGAUGACGUGUCCAGACCAUCGUAGCUGGGUUCUGAGGACCAGGACUUCGAUGCUGGUGGAGUUGGCUCUGUCGAGGACUUCCUGAUUGGUGAUUCGGUCCUGCCAUCGGAUCCUCAUGAUUGACCGGAGGGAGCGUUGGUGGAAUUUCUCCAGCUGUUUCAUGUGCUUCCGGUACAGUGUCCAUGUCUCGCAACC